UGUUAUUUUGCCCCAAAGCGUCCCACUGGUGAGUAAUGCCUGGGACAUUGCCCAGUCGAGGGGGAUAACUGUUGGAAACGACUGCUAUUAUUUCAUACGCCCUACGGGGGAAAGCAUGGGACCUUCGGGCCUUGCGCGAUUGGAUAUGCCCAGGUGGGAUUAGCUAGUUGGUGAGGUAAUGGCUCACCAAGGCGACGAUCCCUAUCUGGUCUGAGAGGAUGAUCAGCCACACUGGAACUGAGACACGGUCCAGACUCCUACGGGAGGCAGCAGUGGGGAAUAUUGCACAAUGGGGGAAACCCUGAUGCAGCCAUGCCGCGUGUGUGAAGAAGGCCUUCGGGUUGUAAAGCACUUUCAGCAAGGAGGAAAGGUCAAUAGCUAAUUUCUGCUGACUGUGACGUUACUCGCAGAAGAAGCACCGGCUAACUCCGUGCCAGCCGCCGCGGUAAUACAGAGGGUGCAAGCGUUAAUCGGAUUUACUGGGCGUAAAGCGCACGCAGGCGGUUGGAUAAGUUAGAUGUGAAAGCCCCGGGCUCAACCUGGGAAUUGCAUUUAAAAUGUCCAGCUAGAGUCUUGUAUAGGGGGGUUAGAAAUCCACGUGGUGCGGUGAAAUGCCUAUAAAUCUGGAGGAAAAUCGGGGGCGAAAGGCGGUCCUCUGGACAAAUACUUUAUAUUCAAGUGCGAAAAUCUUGGGUGAAGCAAACAGGAUUAUAAUACCUUGGUAGUCCAACUCCUCUAACGAUAUCGAUAUUGAGAGGCGCUGCCCUUUAAACCUGCUUCCAGAACAUACGAGUUCAAACUUCCCCCUGGGUGAUACGGUGCGCCAGGUUUAAACUUAAUAAUUUUCGGGCCCCCCCCACGCGGGGAGCGGGGUAUUCUUAGCCUCUGAAACUUUCCGGCUUGCACUUCUAAACCCUUAAAACGCCUACCUUGGUAUAAAAAAAGUCACGAGUUUCCUCCUUACGCUAAUGGUGCUAUAUCAGAAAAUGAACCGCUUUUCUGACUAGGGGGAUAUGGACUCUGUAUAGAACGUGGAUACAUAUUAGUUCUUCGUGUCCCGUUAGUCUCUGGGGCUUACAAGAGCCAACCCUAGUGGAGGGCUCCUCCGGCGUCUGACUAAUC
RNAcentral lists this ribosomal RNA (1122 nucleotides) under Aeromonas hydrophila. RNAcentral describes it as "bacterial SSU rRNA". The stretch from base 1 to 932 matches the Rfam family "Bacterial small subunit ribosomal RNA". Lineage: Bacteria; Pseudomonadati; Pseudomonadota; Gammaproteobacteria; Aeromonadales; Aeromonadaceae. The record is from RNAcentral.